GGGGGUGAAAGGGUUCGACUUAGGGCAGUCGGGUAAAAACAGCAUGCCGCGGAAGCAGGGUUGGCCGCGUAAAACAAACCUUGCAAACUACAAACGCUAACAACAGAAUCAAUGCGUUUAACACCGUUCCGGUAGUUCCUCUCGUGGGACCUAUGGGAAUGGUUCCAGCCUUAGCUAAUUAAUUAGCUAAGCCUCUCUGCGGGUUUCGCCUACGGCCUGUAAGAGAGCCUUAGUAGGCUGGCCCGGUUUUUUGCUCCCGGGAACCGGGCGAGAUAAGGGAGCUGCGGUCCUUCCGGUCGUGUUUAUCCGGACGGCUGGACCGAAGCUUGAAAGAUAAACUAAGCAUGUAGCGGUUUCUACCGGAUUACUUAAGGACGCGGGUUCGAUUCCCGCCACCUCCACCA
RNAcentral lists this transfer-messenger RNA (404 nucleotides) under Candidatus Undivivens industriae. RNAcentral describes it as "Undivivens industriae Standard tmRNA". It matches the Rfam family "transfer-messenger RNA". From Rfam's summary of the family: Bacterial tmRNA, also known as 10Sa RNA or SsrA, is named for its dual tRNA and mRNA-like properties. Lineage: Bacteria; Pseudomonadati; Candidatus Omnitrophota. The record is from RNAcentral.